UGGGGAAUAUUGCACAAUGGGGGAAACCCUGAUGCAGCGACGCCGCGUGAAGGAAAGAAGUAUCUCGGUAUGUAAACUUCUAUCAGCAGGGAAGAUAGUGACGGUACCUGACUAAGAAGCCCCGGCUAACUACGUGCC
This 138-nucleotide ribosomal RNA is filed under the name uncultured bacterium. Its description in RNAcentral is "partial 16S ribosomal RNA". It matches the Rfam family "Bacterial small subunit ribosomal RNA", at positions 355 to 509 of the family's 1533-position model. The record is from RNAcentral.